GAUGAACGCUGACGGCGUGCCUAAUACAUGCAAGUCGAGCGAACGGACGAGAAGCUUGCUUCUCUGAUGUUAGCGGCGGACGGGUGAGUAACACGUGGAUAACCUACCUAUAAGACUGGGAUAACUUCGGGAAACCGGAGCUAAUACCGGAUAAUAUUUUGAACCGCAUGGUUCAAAAGUGAAAGACGGUCUUGCUGUCACUUAUAGAUGGAUCCGCGCUGCAUUAGCUAGUUGGUAAGGUAACGGCUUACCAAGGCAACGAUGCAUAGCCGACCUGAGAGGGUGAUCGGCCACACUGGAACUGAGACACGGUCCAGACUCCUACGGGAGGCAGCAGUAGGGAAUCUUCUGCAAUGGGCGAAAGCCUGACGGAGCAACGCCGCGUGAGUGAUGAAGGUCUUCGGAUCGUAAAACUCUGUUAUUAGGGAAGAACAUAUGUGUAAGUAACUGUGCACAUCUUGACGGUACCUAAUCAGAAAGCCACGGCUAACUACGUG
Molecule: ribosomal RNA, 497 nt
Filed under: uncultured bacterium
Lineage: Bacteria
Description: partial 16S ribosomal RNA
Rfam family: Bacterial small subunit ribosomal RNA
Source: RNAcentral